GCGGUAAUACGUAGGGGGCAAGCGUUAUCCGGAUUUACUGGGUGUAAAGGGAGCGUAGACGGCAAGGCAAGUCUGAAGUGAAAGCCCGGUGCUUAACGCCGGGACUGCUUUGGAAACUGUUUGGCUGGAGUGCCGGAGAGGUAAGCGGAAUUUCUAGUGUAGCGGUGAAAUGCGUAGAUAUUAGGAAGAACACCAGUGGCGAAGGCGGCUUACUGGACGGUAACUGACGUUGAGGCUCGAAAGCGUGAGGAGCAAACAGGAUUAGAUACCCUGGU
Molecule: ribosomal RNA, 275 nt
Filed under: uncultured bacterium
Lineage: Bacteria
Description: partial 16S ribosomal RNA
Rfam family: Bacterial small subunit ribosomal RNA
Source: RNAcentral